This 718-nucleotide ribosomal RNA is filed under the name Monothalamids sp. RNAcentral describes it as "SSU rRNA". It matches the Rfam family "Eukaryotic small subunit ribosomal RNA", at positions 1160 to 1678 of the family's 1831-position model. The record is from RNAcentral. Lineage: Eukaryota; Foraminifera.
AAGGGCACCACAAGAACGCGUGGAGCAUGUGGCUUAAUUUGACUCAACGCGGGAAAUCUUACCGGGUCCGGACACAUCAAGGAUUGACAGGCACAAGUAAUCACUUUACGUGAUUUACUCAUGAAAUAUGCUAGUCCUUUCAUGAUUAUGUGAUAGGUGGUGCAUGGCCGUUCUUAGUUCGUGGGAUAACUUGUCACCUUAAUUGGUUAACUUUUAAUAUGUGAUUGUGGAAUUCGCGUGAGUUUCUACCUUGUGUGGAAUACAAUCGCUCCGCAUGAUCAUUCUUUUAAACGAACGUGACCUCCACUUCUUGUUGUCCAAAUUUACGUUUAUCGUAAUAAAAAAGUCAGCUUAGAAGGAUAGCUUGUUUAAGCAAGAUGAAAGAGGAGGCAAUAACAGGUCUGUGAUGCCCUUAGAUGUUCCGGGCCGCACACGUGCUACAAUGAUUUAUGCAGUAAGCAUCUUACAAGACACUCAACCUCGUGUUGGUGCAAGCCUGCUUCGAAAGCAAGUAGGUAAUCAUUUAUAAGUAUAGAUUCCCAUUCAAGUCAUACUCAUUCCCUCUUUUGGGCUUUGAGAAUGCUUUUCACUACUUCAUAGUGGGGACAGACCAUUGUUAAUUGUUGGUCUCGUUUCAACUAGGAAUGCCUUGUACGGGUCUUUGGUUCAACAGACCACCCGGAAUACGUCCCUGCCCUUUGUACACACCCGCCCGUCA